AUGUGAACGAUGAAGGUCUUCUGAUUGUCAAGUUCUUUUAUUUAGGAAAAAAAGCUUGAGAGGAAAUGAUUAAGCCUUGAUUGUACUAAAUGAAUAAGUGACAGCUAACUAUGUGCCAGCAGCUGCGGUAAAACAUAGGUCACGAGCAUUAUCCGGAUUUAUUGGGCGUAAAGGAAGCGUAGGCGGACAAAUUGAUCUAUUGUUAAAGGCACUUGCUCAACGAGUUGUUUGUGAUAGAUAUCGUUUGUCUAGAAUUAGUUAGGAGAUACUGGAAUUCAAUGUGUAGCGGUGGAAUGCGUAGAUAUAUUGAGGAACACCAGAGGCUAAGGCGAGUAUCUAGGACAUAAUUGACGCUGAGGCUUGAAAGCGUGGGGAGCAAAUGGGAUUAGAUACCCCAGUAGUCCACGCCGUAAACGAUGGGUAUUAGGUAUUUGGUUUAGGACUGAGUGCUGUAGCUAACGCGUUAAAUACCCCGCGCUGGGUAGUAUAUAUGC
Molecule: ribosomal RNA, 494 nt
Filed under: Candidatus Mycoplasma haematominutum
Lineage: Bacteria; Bacillati; Mycoplasmatota; Mollicutes; Mycoplasmatales; Mycoplasmataceae
Description: bacterial SSU rRNA
Rfam family: Bacterial small subunit ribosomal RNA
Source: RNAcentral